CAGUCGCCACGGUAAUACGUAGGUGGCAAGCGUUGUCCGGAAUUAUUGGGCGUAAAGCGCGCGCAGGUGGUUUAAUAAGUCUGAUGUGAAAGCCCACGGCUCAACCGUGGAGGGUCAUUGGAAACUGGGAAACUUGAGUGCAGAAGAGGAGAGUGGAAUUCCACGUGUAGCGGUGAAAUGCGUAGAGAUGUGGAGGAACACCAGUGGCGAAGGCGACUCUCUGGUCUGUAACUGACGCUGAGGAGCGAAAGCGUAGGGAGCGAACAGGAUUAGAUACCCGAGUAGUCCCUGUCUCUUAUAC
RNAcentral lists this ribosomal RNA (301 nucleotides) under uncultured bacterium. Its description in RNAcentral is "partial 16S ribosomal RNA". It matches the Rfam family "Bacterial small subunit ribosomal RNA", at positions 509 to 807 of the family's 1533-position model. The record is from RNAcentral.